AAAUUGAAGAGUUUGAUCAUGGCUCAGAUUGAACGCUGGCGGCAGGCCUAACACAUGCAAGUCGAACGGUAACAGGAAGAAGCUUGCUUCUUUGCUGACGAGUGGCGGACGGGUGAGUAAUGUCUGGGAAACUGCCUGAUGGAGGGGGAUAACUACUGGAAACGGUAGCUAAUACCGCAUAACGUCGCAAGACCAAAGAGGGGGACCUUCGGGCCUCUUGCCAUCGGAUGUGCCCAGAUGGGAUUAGCUAGUAGGUGGGGUAACGGCUCACCUAGGCGACGAUCCCUAGCUGGUCUGAGAGGAUGACCAGCCACACUGGAACUGAGACACGGUCCAGACUCCUACGGGAGGCAGCAGUGGGGAAUAUUGCACAAUGGGCGCAAGCCUGAUGCAGCCAUGCCGCGUGUAUGAAGAAGGCCUUCGGGUUGUAAAGUACUUUCAGCGGGGAGGAAGGGAGUAAAGUUAAUACCUUUGCUCAUUGACGUUACCCGCAGAAGAAGCACCGGCUAACUCCGUGCCAGCAGCCGCGGUAAUACGGAGGGUGCAAGCGUUAAUCGGAAUUACUGGGCGUAAAGCGCACGCAGGCGGUUUGUUAAGUUAGAUGUGAAAUCCCCGGGCUCAACCUGGGAACUGCAUCUGAUACUGGCAAGCUUGAGUCUCGUAGAGGGGGGUAGAAUUCCAGGUGUAGCGGUGAAAUGCGUAGAGAUCUGGAGGAAUACCGGUGGCGAAGGCGGCCCCCUGGACGAAGACUGACGCUCAGGUGCGAAAGCGUGGGGAGCAAACAGGAUUAGAUACCCUGGUAGUCCACGCCGUAAACGAUGUCGACUUGGAGGUUGUGCCCUUGAGGCGUGGCUUCCGGAGCUAACGCGUUAAGUCGACCGCCUGGGGAGUACGGCCGCAAGGUUAAAACUCAAAUGAAUUGACGGGGGCCCGCACAAGCGGUGGAGCAUGUGGUUUAAUUCGAUGCAACGCGAAGAACCUUACCUGGUCUUGACAUCCACGGAAGUUUUCAGAGAUGAGAAUGUGCCUUCGGGAACCGUGAGACAGGUGCUGCAUGGCUGUCGUCAGCUCGUGUUGUGAAAUGUUGGGUUAAGUCCCGCAACGAGCGCAACCCUUAUCCUUUGUUGCCAGCGGUCCGGCCGGGAACUCAAAGGAGACUGCCAGUGAUAAACUGGAGGAAGGUGGGGAUGACGUCAAGUCAUCAUGGCCCUUACGACCAGGGCUACACACGUGCUACAAUGGCGCAUACAAAGAGAAGCGACCUCGCGAGAGCAAGCGGACCUCAUAAAGUGCGUCGUAGUCCGGAUUGGAGUCUGCAACUCGACUCCAUGAAGUCGGAAUCGCUAGUAAUCGUGGAUCAGAAUGCCACGGUGAAUACGUUCCCGGGCCUUGUACACACCGCCCGUCACACCAUGGGAGUGGGUUGCAAAAGAAGUAGGUAGCUUAACCUUCGGGAGGGCGCUUACCACUUUGUGAUUCAUGACUGGGGUGAAGUCGUAACAAGGUAACCGUAGGGGAACCUGCGGUUGGAUCACCUCCUUACCUUAAAGAAGC
This 1554-nucleotide ribosomal RNA is filed under the name Escherichia coli O157:H7. Its description in RNAcentral is "bacterial SSU rRNA". It matches the Rfam family "Bacterial small subunit ribosomal RNA". The record is from RNAcentral. Lineage: Bacteria; Pseudomonadati; Pseudomonadota; Gammaproteobacteria; Enterobacterales; Enterobacteriaceae.